CCUACGGGUGGCAGCAGUGAGGAAUAUUGGUCAAUGGCCGGAAGGCUGAACCAGCCAAGCCGCGUGAAGGACGAAGGUGCUAAGCAUUGUAAACUUCUUUUGUCAAGGGAUAAAAUCAGGCUCGAGAGCCUGACCGAGGGUACUUGAAGAAAAAGCAUCGGCUAACUCCGUGCCAGCAGCCGCGGUAAUACGGAGGAUGCGAGCGUUAUCCGGAUUUAUUGGGUUUAAAGGGUGCGUAGGUGGGCUGUUAAGUCAGUGGUAAAAGCCCGGGGCUCAACCCCGGCGUGCCAUUGAAACUGGCUGCCUUGAGAUGAUGUGAGGUAUGCGGAAUGCGCAGUGUAGCGGUGAAAUGCUUAGAUAUUGCGCAAAACUCCGAUUGCGAAGGCAGCAUACCAGCGGCGAUCUGACGUUGAGGCACGAAAGCGUGGGUAUCGAACAGGAUUAGAUACCCUAGUAGUC
RNAcentral lists this ribosomal RNA (459 nucleotides) under uncultured bacterium. RNAcentral's name for it is "partial 16S ribosomal RNA". It matches the Rfam family "Bacterial small subunit ribosomal RNA", at positions 338 to 795 of the family's 1533-position model. The record is from RNAcentral.